AAAGUCGUAACAAGGUUUCCGUAGGUGAACCUGCGGAAGGAUCAUUAUCGUAUAAUCCACGUAAACAAUCGAGAACUGUAUUCACCUUUUGUCGAGAGUGAGGUAGUGGGAAUUUAGGCUGCUCGUUUUGUGAUUUCGAGCAUAUGGUCUAUUUUCUCCAAUGAGCCCUUUACUGGGUACAUACUCGUUCACUUCAAAUUGUAUUAUCUAAAAAUCAUUGUCUAACAAUUCUAACCAACUUUGAACUUUGACUUAUCUUUUUCAUACUCUUAACGGAGAUGAAAUUCAUUACGAAACAAAGAACAACUCUUAGCAACGGAUAUCUUGGUUCUC
RNAcentral lists this unclassified non-coding RNA (333 nucleotides) under Ascomycota sp. RNAcentral describes it as "partial contains small subunit ribosomal RNA, internal transcribed spacer 1, and 5.8S ribosomal RNA". The stretch from base 1 to 47 matches the Rfam family "Eukaryotic small subunit ribosomal RNA", at positions 1785 to 1831 of the family's 1831-position model. The record is from RNAcentral. Lineage: Eukaryota; Fungi; Ascomycota.